AGUGAACGCUGGCGGUAGGCCUAGCACAUGCAAGUCGAACGGCAGCACAGUAAGAGCUUGCUCUUACGGGUGGCGAGUGGCGGACGGGUGAGGGAUACAUCGGAAUCUACUUUUUCGUGGGGGAUAACGUAGGGAAACUUACGCUAAUACCGCAUACGACCUACGGGUGAAAGCAGGGGAUCUUCGGACCUUGCGCGAUUGAAUGAGCCGAUGUCGGAUUAGCUAGUUGGCGGGGUAAAGGCCCACCAAGGCGACGAUCCGUAGCUGGUCUGAGAGGAUGAUCAGCCACACUGGAACUGAGACACGGUCCAGACUCCUACGGGAGGCAGCAGUGGGGAAUGUUGGACAAUGGGCGCAAGCCUGAUCCAGCCAUACCGCGUGGGUGAAGAAGGCCUUCGGGUUGUAAAGCCCUUUUGUUGGGAAAGAAAAGCAGCAGGUUAAUACCCCGCUGUUCUGACGGUACCCAAAGAAUAAGCACCGGCUAACUUCGUG
Molecule: ribosomal RNA, 492 nt
Filed under: uncultured bacterium
Lineage: Bacteria
Description: partial 16S ribosomal RNA
Rfam family: Bacterial small subunit ribosomal RNA
Source: RNAcentral